RNAcentral lists this ribosomal RNA (253 nucleotides) under uncultured bacterium. RNAcentral's name for it is "partial 16S ribosomal RNA". It matches the Rfam family "Bacterial small subunit ribosomal RNA", at positions 524 to 776 of the family's 1533-position model. The record is from RNAcentral.
UACGUAGGGGGCAAGCGUUGUCCGGAUUUACUGGGCGUAAAGCGCACGUAGGCGGAUCGUUAAGUCGGGGGUGAAAUCCUGGAGCUCAACUCCAGAACUGCCUUCGAUACUGGCGAUCUUGAGUCCGGAAGAGGUGAGUGGAACUCCUAGUGUAGAGGUGGAAUUCGUAGAUAUUAGGAAGAACACCAGUGGCGAAGGCGGCUCACUGGUCCGGUACUGACGCUGAGGUGCGAAAGCGUGGGGAGCAAACAGG